UUGCUUCUCUGAUGUUAGCGGCGGACGGGUGAGUAACACGUGGAUAACCUACCUAUAAGACUGGGAUAACUUCGGGAAACCGGAGCUAAUACCGGAUAAUAUUUUGAACCGCAUGGUUCAAAAGUGAAAGACGGUCUUGCUGUCACUUAUAGAUGGAUCCGCGCUGCAUUAGCUAGUUGGUAAGGUAACGGCUUACCAAGGCAACGAUGCAUAGCCGACCUGAGAGGGUGAUCGGCCACACUGGAACUGAGACACGGUCCAGACUCCUACGGGAGGCAGCAGUAGGGAAUCUUCCGCAAUGGGCGAAAGCCUGACGGAGCAACGCCGCGUGAGUGAUGAAGGUCUUCGGAUCGUAAAACUCUGUUAUUAGGGAAGAACAUAUGUGUAAGUAACUGUGCACAUCUUGACGGUACCUAAUCAGAAAGCCACGGCUAACUACGUGC
RNAcentral lists this ribosomal RNA (443 nucleotides) under Staphylococcus aureus. Its description in RNAcentral is "bacterial SSU rRNA". It matches the Rfam family "Bacterial small subunit ribosomal RNA", at positions 78 to 508 of the family's 1533-position model. Lineage: Bacteria; Bacillati; Bacillota; Bacilli; Caryophanales; Staphylococcaceae. The record is from RNAcentral.